UACCAUAUUUAGCUUUAGUAGCUGUAAUUUAUUUGUAUCGCCGCAGUUUGUAGCGGUGGAUAUCCAGAAUAGUGUAGAAUGAAAUUACGCUCGUGCUGAAAUGCGGAGUUUAUUUUUACAGUAGUGUAUAGACUGUUCCGGACUGUCGGGUGCCGUGGUGGUUGACGGUGGACCCAGUUUGCUGUUUGUAUAUCGGAUUGUGCCGAGGGCACGUGAGUUUUGAUGGUUAGACCAGUUUG
RNAcentral lists this long non-coding RNA (239 nucleotides) under Ananas comosus (pineapple). RNAcentral describes it as "long non-coding RNA (ACOM_LNC033179)". Lineage: Eukaryota; Viridiplantae; Streptophyta; Magnoliopsida; Poales; Bromeliaceae. The record is from RNAcentral.